GGAUAAAAGACUACACACUGGGUACAGUGUACACUGCUUAGGUGAUGUGUGCGCCAAAACCUCAGAAAUCACCACUAAAGAACUUACCAUGUAACCAAACAUUAUCCGUUCUCCAAUAACAGUUUUAGGUUUACUGAAAAAUUGCCAAGAUAGUAGAGUGAGUUCACAUAUAUCCUGUAGCCAGUUUCCUCUAUUAUUAACAUUAGCAUUGUUGGGGCUCAGAACAUAAUGUCCAGAAAUAGGGUAGUUUGAAAACUGAGAAGAUAGCAGAAGCAGGAGGGUCUCUUUGACCUUCUCUUGUGCCUUUCUCCCCUAAAGCAAGCCAUAAAAACUAGAAUUGCCUUCACCCUUUUUCUCCUCUGAAGCAGACCAUAAAAACUUGGAGGGUCACUCUCUGGCCUUUUCCCUCCUUUUCCCCCAGAAGGCUGUCAUGUAACAGCUGUCCUGCCCUGUAUCCCAGGGAAGAAAUAUCAAACAGGGAUGCCAAGAAGAAACUGAACAAACGAGCCUAAUUCCUCCCAGUUUGUUACCAUUCCAUCAUACCUUUUGUCUUCCAAUCAUACUUCAGACUAUCAUAAAAAUACACAGUUUUUCUGGGUCUUCUCGUUUCUGAAAGCUCUCAUGUCACAUAAAACUUAUACUAAAUAAUUUUGUUAUGCUUUUCUCUUGUUAAUCUGUCUUUUAUUAUAGAGGUCUCAGCCAUAAACCUUGCAAUGGGUGAGGAAAUCUGUUCUUCUCUACAUCUUGGUAUAUUUGUUAUAAUUCAGGAACCAAUAUUGAUACAUUAUUGUGAAUAAAAGUCCAUACUUUAUUCAGAUUUCUUCAGGUUUUACCUAAUGUCUUUUUCUGUUUCAGAACCCCAUCUAGGAUAUCAGAUUAUAUUUAGUCAUCAUGUUUCUUUCUUUCUUUCUUUUUUUUUUUUUUUUUU
Molecule: long non-coding RNA, 928 nt
Filed under: Homo sapiens (human)
Lineage: Eukaryota; Metazoa; Chordata; Mammalia; Primates; Hominidae
Description: non-protein coding lnc-ERLEC1-5:1
Source: RNAcentral